CCGAGAGAGGGGCCUCGAGCUCCCGGGGGCUUCGGCCCCCAACUCUUCACCCUUUGUUUACCUACUUUUGUUGCUUUGGCGGACCUCGGGUUUCCUCUCGCGCCGGCCCUCGGGCCGGUGAGCGUCCGUCAGAGGCCCAUUUAAAUCCAGUUUAUUAGUGAUGUCUGAGUGAAAACACAAUUAGUA
Molecule: unclassified non-coding RNA, 186 nt
Filed under: Flavopunctelia soredica
Lineage: Eukaryota; Fungi; Ascomycota; Lecanoromycetes; Lecanorales; Parmeliaceae
Description: ITS1
Source: RNAcentral